UACGAAGGGUGCAAGCGUUAAUCGGAAUUACUGGGCGUAAAGCGCGCGUAGGUGGUUUUGUAAGUUGAAGGUGAAAUCCCCGGGCUCAACCUGGGAACUGCCUCCAAAACUGCAUGACUAGAGUACGGUAGAGGGUAGUGGAAUUUCCUGUGUAGCGGUGAAAUGCGUAGAUAUAGGAAGGAACACCAGUGGCGAAGGCGACUACCUGGACUGAUACUGACACUGAGGUGCGAAAGCGUGGGGAGCAAACAGG
This 253-nucleotide ribosomal RNA is filed under the name uncultured bacterium. RNAcentral's name for it is "partial 16S ribosomal RNA". It matches the Rfam family "Bacterial small subunit ribosomal RNA", at positions 524 to 776 of the family's 1533-position model. The record is from RNAcentral.